CAAAAGUCUGCAAAUUAGAGAUCAGGCUUAAAUUCAGCAUGCGCAUUGUUGCUGUAGCGGCUCCAGAGCAUCUUUAUCAUUGCUGUAGAGGUGAUCGCAUUCGCUCACUAUCUUCGAGGAUGUAGUGGACCCUACAAGAUUUGUGCAACAUGGAACUGCAAAAAUUCUCCUAUAAAAUCUGAUGAAAGUUCGAUAUCAGAUGUCUUUUUUUGUGCAGAAUCAAAAUAAUGUCAUCUGGUGCCAUUGUAUGUAAAGCAGUAAAUCGGUUAACAUUGAAUCAGUGACCCAUUGUGCCAUAGCACUGAAACAAAUAUUUUGCUUAAAAAUGUGCUUAAUGUGGUAAGGUUGACAUUAACUGGUUUUAUUAGGUCAACAAUAUUAUUUAACAUCAACCUAACAUCAAAGGUUACGCCAACAAAACCCAUUUUAAGAUUGCUACCUAGUUAGAUCAGAUAGCAACAUCUCCUUAAUAUAACAAUUGCCCCACAACCCCCCAACCCCUCCCCACAGCUGAUCGACUGACAAGGGGGCCUCCACGGAACGGCAAGCCCAUGGGCCCAGAGGUAGCUUUAUGCACCCCUUAAUUACCACUUUUUACACUGUAAUUUGUCUUUGACAGUAAAGCAACACUUUGUUUGAGAUUUUUGGCAUAUGUACAGUAUAACUUUUGUGAAGGGUUGAAAAACCAUAGUAAACAA
Molecule: long non-coding RNA, 698 nt
Organism: Xyrauchen texanus (razorback sucker)
Lineage: Eukaryota; Metazoa; Chordata; Actinopteri; Cypriniformes; Catostomidae
Exons: 3
Source: RefSeq, a predicted model, not a curated record